GCAGCUCCUUGGAGAGCGGGGAUGACAUGAUCUUCCUGCGCACGUGUGAGGGGGCAUUGAAGUAACGUUUGCGGUUUUUACUGCGGUCCGAGAGACCCUCAACAGUUUCUUUUAAAGACUAACUUUCUUCAAGCCUCCUUGCUUUGUGCUAAUAACUCUUUGUUAAGCUCUAUCCUAUGUAACUGUUGGACAUCCUCACCAACAUAUUCCAGCUCACAGCCUAUGCCCCUUCCUUAUUUGGUGAUGUUAUUGCCUCCUGAGACUUUUCAUAAGCAACUUAUUUGUUCUUCCCUGCACUUACCUAUUUAGGAAAGUUUCAGGUUAUUAGCAAAUCGGGUAUCACUUUAAGAUUGUGAGGUCCCACUCCAGCCAAUGGAUGCAGGACAUAGCAGUAAGGACAACCCAAAUGCGUAAGGGAUAAAUACAUCUGCUUUUCCUUUGUUCAGGUGUGCUCUCACCAUUGUUCCAUCUGCGACUGAGCACCAUUUCUGCAAAAAUGGCCUCAGGGGUAAGGGACCGAGACCCAUCCGGUGUGACCAAUAAACCCGGACUCUCAGCAAUGUGGAAAGAAACUGGCCAACAACCUGGGGUAAAGGAUCCUCACAUACCGAGGUGACGACUCUGUGCACAGACCAACGAAGGAGAAGCCACGGGAGCCGGUGUUAUGUCGUACCAUACAUCCAGGAGUUCAUCAAAACAACUAAGCCAAGACAUGCUAAGAAAGUUUGAAGAGGAAAACUAUACAGUAAAAGAGGAGGGAAUUGUAGGAAGUAAAAAGUUUCUGCUUCAAAGUUCCCCUUCUUGUUAAAGAAUAAAUCAUAAGUCUUAGAAAUAAUAGAUUCUUUUAAAGACUAAUUUUCUUCAAGCCUCCUUGCUUUGUGCUAAUAGCUCUUUGUUAAGCCCUAUCCUAUGUAACUGUUGGACAUGCUCACAGACACAUUCCAGCUCACAGCCUAUGCCCCUUCCUUAAUUGGAAAUGUUAUUGCUUCCUGAAACCUUUUGUAAGCAACUUCUUUGUUCUUCCUUGCACUUACCUAUUUAGGAAAGUUUCAAAUCGGGUAUCAGUUUAAGAUAGUGAGGUCCCACUCCAGCCAAUGGAUGCAGGACACAGCAGUAAGGACAACCCAAAUGCGUAAGGGAUAAAUACAUCUGCUUUUCCUUUGUUCAGGUGUGCUCUCACCAUUGUUCCAUCUGCAGUUGAGCACCCUUUCUGCAGAAAGUAAAGAUGGCCUUGCUGAGAGAUCUUUUGUCUCUGUGCUGACUCUUCUUCGCAGCACCGAUUAUCUAUUUCUAACAAUUUUGGUAUUUCUAACAGGCCCACACACACUGUGUGGGCCAAGCUGCUUCACUCAGUCCACUGAUCAAAUGCUCAUCUCAUCCUCACAGACACACCCAGGAUACUGCUUGACCAAAUAUCUGGACAACCCAUGGCCCAGUCAAGUCGACAGACCAAAUGAACUGUCACAGACAGCUUCUGUCCUUGGAACGGGGUGGGAUUCCACGGACUCUCUCCCUUCACAGUGGAGAUGCUCAGUCAGCAAGCUGCCAGAAGUUCAGAGCUGGGGAAGAUAUAAAGAGGACUGGGCAUGGAAGCUGCAGGAACUAGUCAGGAACUGGGAGUACCUAGGAGUCAGCUCCUGAGUGUGCAGGAUCAUGGUGAAAUAGAAAGUUAGAGAAGGAAGAGUGUGUCAAUAUCAGAGCAUUGUCUUAUAGCACAGGACUUAACCCUCUCCUAAGGUUCCAGGGAGACAGUGCCAAAUCAUCACUUGAGUGGUGCUUAGAAGCUUCAGGGCAAAAGAGCCAACCCUAAGUACAUUUGUCUACUGGGGCUGCCAUCACAAAGCACCGCAGACAGGGUGGCUUAUACAACAGACUCAUUGUCUCACAAUCCUGGCGGCUGGAGUCCAAGAUCAAGGUUUUGCAAGGCUAGCUCCUCCUGAGGCCUCUCUUGGCUUGUAGAUGACCGGGGCCUUCUCUCUGUGUCCUCACAGGGUCUUCCCUCAGUGCGUGUCCGUGUCCUCACCUCCUCUUGUAAGACUCCAGUCCUAUGAGAUUAGGACCCACUGUCAUGAACUCAUUUACUGUUGAUUACCUUUGUUUUAUGUUUUUUGUUUUUUUGAGACAGGGUCAGUCUCUGUCACCCAGGCUGGAGUGCAGUGGUGCAAUCAUGGCUCACUGCAGCCUCAAACUCCUGGGCUCAAGGAAUCCUCCCACCUCAAUCUCCCAAGUAGCUGGGACUACAGAUGCAUACCACUGUGCCUGGGUGUAUUAGUCUGUUAUUGCACAGCUAUAAAGAAAUACCUGAGAGUGGGUAACUUAUAAAGAAAGGAGGUUUAAUUGGCUCACGGUUCAUAGCUGCUUCUGGGGAGGCCUCAGGAAAGUUUCAGUCAUGGUGGAAGGUGAAGGGGAAGCAGACACGUCUUACACGGCCAGACAGUUCCUCCUACACUGGCUGACACUCUCUCCUGCCACCUUGUGAAGAAGGUGCCUGCUUCCUUUUCUGCCAUGACUGUAAGUUUCCUGAGGCCUCCCCAGCCAUGUGGGACUGUGAGUCAAUUAAACCUCCUUUGUUUAUAAAUUGCCCAGUCUCCGGUAGUAUCUUUAUAACAGUGUGAGGAUGAGCUAAUACACACAGGAAGCAGCAAUGCCAUCAAAGAGCCAGGGGCCUUGACUGGCAGAACUAGUGAGACCAUCACCAAAACAUGGCAUUCCUUGGGCAAGGCAGGUGCGCAGCCAGCAAGGUAUUGCUUAAUCUACAUGAUCAAAAGACAUCAGGAUGGUUGUUCAGGAGGCUGAGAACAGCCAUCCUAUUAUGGCUGAGUUGUGUCCCCUCAAAAUUUAUAUACUGAAGUCUUAACCCCCCAGGACCUCAGUGUGUAAGUAUUUGGAGAAAGGGCCUUUAAAGAUGUAGUUAAAUUAAAAUGAAGACAUUAGGGUGGGCCCUAAUCCAAUCUGACUGGUGUCCUUGUAAGAAGAGGAGAUGAGGACACAUGCAGAGGCAUGACCACAUGAGGACACAGGGAGAAGGUGGCCAUCUGCAAAUCAAGGAGUGAGGCCUCGGGAGGAACCAGCACUACCAACACCUUGAUCUCGGACUUCCAGUCUCCAGAACCAUGAGAUGAUGAAAGUCUGUGUUUAAGCUGCCCAGUCUGUGAUAUUGUUUUGCAACCCUAAUAGAUGAAUACAUACCCCAAUGAAAAAGCAUGAUCUCUUGCCCAGUUUCUGCACCUGAGACAGUUUUCAAACCCAAACCCCACUGAUUGAAGGAGGGAUUAGGUCCCAGGAGGACGGACCCUGCAGUACCAUAGCAGGCUCCCCCAGUCCUUCCCCACCCCACCACUAAAGGUGUAUUUCAGUAACUGUGCACUAGGAAAAGGGCAAUGCCCAGGGCUGGGGGACUCCGGGACCAAGUUGACACUGAGAGCUGGAGUCAAGGUACCAUCAUGGGCCCACUAGAGUAGGGCGUAUGGAGGCCAGCAAAGUGCAAUCCUGGUCCACCUCUAGCUCACACUGAGUCAUCCCUUUGCAUUCCCAGAAUGCUGCAUAUUCCCCCAGACCCUAAAAGUACACUCAGACAAUCUUGGUAGUUGGCAGAAUCCUCACGUAGGCUCAUUGUCCUGUAGGGUAAAAACUAUCAUAGUGUUACCAAGUAGAAACUUCUGAAACUGCCCACCACCUUAGCCAAGGCAAUACACCAAAAAGAAAAUCUCAUUGGUGGGGAAUGGCAGAGAUGUGGGCCCCUUUGGAAGACUUGAAGGUUGCAGGUGAGGCGAUUCCCAUCAUCUCCCCCAUUUUCCAGAGAAUGCUAACAGACUACUGUCAACUUGUGAUGGGAAAUUUUAUGCGUCCACUUCACUGGGCCAUGGUGCCCAGAUGUUUGGUUAAACAUUAUUCUGGGUGUGUCUGCAAGGUGUUUCUGGAUAUGCUUAGCAUUUGAAUCUGUGGACUGAGAAAAGCAGGUCACUCUCUCUGGUAAAGGUGGGCCUCAUCCAAUCAGUUGAAGGUCUGACUAAAACAAAAAGAUUAAGCAAGAGAAAAUUCGCUCUCCCUGCCUGUCUUAGUCUGUUUAUGUUGCUAUAAAGGAAUAUUGGAGCCUGGGUAAUUGAUAAAGAAAAGAGGUUUAUUUGGCUCAUGGUUCUGCAGGCUGUACAAGAAACAUGACAUCUGCAUCUGCUGCUGGUGAGGGCCUCAGGCUGCUUCCACUCCUGACAGAAGAUGAAGGGGAGCCAGUGUGUGCAGAGGUCACAUGAUUUAUUAUGUCACAGUACGGGAGGCUGGAAAAAGUGCAAGAUCAGGACACUGGCUGUUUUGGUGUCUGGUGAGGGUCCCAGUCUCUUCUUCAAGAUGAAGACUUGUUGCUGCCUCUCCUGAAGGGGACAAAUGCUGUGUCACCACACUGUGGAUGGUGGAAGAGCAAUACAAGCUGGGACACCCAUCUUCUCUUGCCUUUGGAUAUCAGAACUCCAGAUUCUUCAGCCUUCGCACUCUGAGACUUGUACCAGUGGCCUCCGGGUCUCAGGCCUUCAGCUGCAGACUGAGAGUUACCCAACUGGCUUUCCUGAUUGACGCUUAGACUGUACCACAUAAAUGGCUUCCCUGGUCCCCAGCUUGCAGAUGGCCUAUUGUGGGAAUUUUCAGCCUCUGUAAUCAUUGUAAUCAUAUGAGCCCAUUCCCAUAAUAAAUCCCUUCUCAUGUAUCUAUGUAUCUAUACCUGUAUCAAUCCUAUUUCUUUCUUUUUUUUUUUUUUGAGACAGAGUCUUGCUCUGUCACCCAGGCUGGAGUGCAGUGGCGUGUUCUCAGCUCAAUGCAACCUCCGCCUCCCAGGUUCAGGCGAUUCUCCUGCCUCAGCCUCCCGAGUAGCUGGGACUACAGGCACCCGCCACCACGCCCAGCUAAUUUUUGUAUUUUUAGUAGAGACGGGGUUUCAUCAUGUUGGCCAGGAUAGUCUCCAUCUCUUGGCCUCGUGAUUCACCCGCCUCGGCCUCCCAGAGUGCUGGGAUUACAGGCGUAAGCCAGCACACCUGGCCUCGAUGCUAUUUCUAUCCUAUCGGUUCUGUUUACCUGAAGAACCCUAACAUAGGUUUUGGUAUCAGGAUGAUUCUAGAGAAACAGAAUCAUAAGAAUGAGUUUUCUGAAUGUGUAUUGUGUUUUUCGGAAUUGGUUUUCUAAUAUGACUUGACUUAAAAGUGAGAAGAACUCUACUUCCAACAGUACACAGGACACUGAUGGUCCAUGGUGUGAAUAGUUUAUGAAAAUAUGCAAAUUUCUGCAUUGUAUACUCCUAGUAAACCACUUACAAGAGGCAAGGAGCUUAGUGACUCUGUAUAUGAUAUUUUCGAACAUUUGUGGAAAACCAGGGAAUAUAGUGACGUGGGCUGGUUACCAGUUGGUUGCUGGACAAAGUGAUGAAAUCACAGGAUGUGCUCAGUGAUUCAAAUUCCCAGUUCCAGCUCUGUAUAAAUAACCUGUGAGUGGCUGAGUGAACCCUGAAGGAGAACCUCCUUUCCUGUAGCCCUGGGGCCAAGACUGCUGAAAAGCAACCACAAGUCCUCGUCCUGAAACUGGAUGAAUUACAACGCAAGUUGAACUCUCAGCCUUGCGGGGUGUCCACUGUUCCAGUGAGGGCAUUGGCUGGGAAACAGAGGAUCCU
RNAcentral lists this long non-coding RNA (5650 nucleotides) under Homo sapiens (human). Its description in RNAcentral is "HSALNT0171193". Lineage: Eukaryota; Metazoa; Chordata; Mammalia; Primates; Hominidae. The record is from RNAcentral.